UAGAUGAAAAGUUCAAGGAAGGGAGUCAUGUUCGAGUUCGUGUUCUUGGCUUUAGGCAUCUAUAAGGAUUGACAAUGGAUGUUUUAAAGGUGACACUGGCACACUUCCUUUUCUCUGCCAUUAUUAUAUUAUGUCAAGCUCACCAAAGAUCGACAGAAGAAACCAAUCCCUUGGAAACAAUGGCAAUCAUUGGCAACAAGGAGAUCAUUGACAUUAACCAAGGU
This is a long non-coding RNA of Magnolia sinica, 224 nucleotides long. RefSeq lists it as uncharacterized. The record is from RefSeq and is a predicted model, not a curated record. The transcript has 3 exons. Lineage: Eukaryota; Viridiplantae; Streptophyta; Magnoliopsida; Magnoliales; Magnoliaceae.